AGGAAAGAGAAACCAGAGUGAAUUAUGACUCUUGCCCAGUUUUUGGUUGAAUACUGCCUGCAUGCUGCUACAAUGCCCCUUUUACAGAACAUUGUCUAACAUGUAAAUAUUCUGGAAUAGUACCCCCAAAUUCAACUUGACAUGAAGACAAGAACAAAACCAUUCAGUACUGAUUAAAUGCUUGGGAUAAUGUGCAACAAUCUAGAUGAUCCAAAGAGUAUUUGAUGACAUUGCAUUAAUGACCUUAAGUUAAUAGCUGCACCCUUCUGGUUACCGCUAGAACUGAGCUUUCGCUCGCCGUCCACCACUGCUGUUUUGCUGCCGUCGCAGACCCGCCGCUGACUUCCAUCCCUCCAAUCCAGCAGGGCGCCCGCUGUGCUCCUGAUCCAGGGAAGCACCCGUUGCCACUCCUGAUCGCGCUAAAGGCUUGCCAUUGUUCCUGCAUGGCUAAGUGCCUGGUUUCGUCCUAAUCAAGCUGAACACUAGUCACUGGG
Molecule: long non-coding RNA, 494 nt
Filed under: Homo sapiens (human)
Lineage: Eukaryota; Metazoa; Chordata; Mammalia; Primates; Hominidae
Description: HSALNT0394620
Source: RNAcentral